UGGGGAAUAUUGGGCAAUGGGCGAAAGCCUGACCCAGCGACGCCGCGUGAAGGAAGAAGGUCUUCGGAUUGUAAACUUUAGUCAACAGGGACGAAACAAAUGACGGUACCUGUGGAGGAAGCCACGGCUAACUACGUGCCAGCAGCCGCGGUAAUACGUAGGUGGCAAGCGUUAUCCGGAUUUACUGGGCGUAAAGGGUGUGUAGGCGGUCUGACAAGUCAGGAGUGAAAAUUAUGGGCUCAACCCAUAAACUGCUUUUGAAACUGUCGGUCUUGAGUGUGGGAGAGGUAAAUGGAAUUCCAGGUGUAGCGGUGAAAUGCGUAGAUAUCUGGAGGAACACCGGUGGCGAAGGCGAUUUACUGGACCAUAACUGACGCUGAGACACGAAAGCGUGGGGAGCAAACA
This 405-nucleotide ribosomal RNA is filed under the name uncultured Eubacteriales bacterium. Its description in RNAcentral is "uncultured Clostridiales bacterium partial 16S ribosomal RNA". It matches the Rfam family "Bacterial small subunit ribosomal RNA", at positions 355 to 774 of the family's 1533-position model. The record is from RNAcentral. Lineage: Bacteria; Bacillati; Bacillota; Clostridia; Eubacteriales.